Molecule: ribosomal RNA, 1261 nt
Filed under: uncultured bacterium
Lineage: Bacteria
Description: bacterial SSU rRNA
Rfam family: Bacterial small subunit ribosomal RNA
Source: RNAcentral
GUCUGCGAUAGCCCCGUGUUCCAGAAGAGGAUGGACCGGCCCACACUUGGACGGACCGGCCCAGAUCUCUACGGAGGCACACAUGGGAUAUUUUUCCGCCAAUGGCGAAGCCUUGAACGGAAGCAACGCCGCUGAAUAUGAAGUUCUUCGGAACGUAAAACUUUUGUUGUUCACGACGAACCGGGGGAACCAGGAAAUUGGGUCCCAGUGACGGUAGUGAACGAGGAAGCCACGGCUAACUACGUGCCAGCAGCCGCGGUAAUACGUAGGUGGCAAGCGUGUCCGGAAUAUUGGGCGUAAAGCGCAUGUAGGCGGUUCCUUAAGUCGGUCGUGAAAAUGCGGUGCUUAACGCCGUAUGGCGAUCGAAACUGGGGGACUUGAGUGCAGGAGAGGAAAGGGGAACUCCCAGUGUAGCGGUGAAAUGCGUAGAUAUUGGGAAGAACACCGGUGGCGAAGGCGCCUUUCUGGACUGUGUCUGACGCUGAGAUGCGAAAGCCAGGGUAGCGAACGGGAUUAGAUACCCCGGUAGUCCUGGCCGUAAACGAUGGGUACUAGGUGUGGGAGGUAUCGACCCCUUCCGUGCCGGAGUUAACGCAAUAAGUACCCCGCCUGGGGAGUACGGCCGCAAGGCUUAAACUCAAAGGAAUUGACGGGGGCCCGCACAAGCGGUGGAGUAUGUGGUUUAAUUCGACGCAACGCGAAGAACCUUACCAAGGCUUGACAUUGAGUGAAAGACCUGGAGACAGGUCCCCCUCUUCGGAGGCACGAAAACAGGUGGUGCAUGGCUGUCGUCAGCUCGUGUCGUGAGAUGUUGGGUUAAGUCCCGCAACGAGCGCAACCCCUAUCCUAUGUUACCAGCAUUAAGUUGGGGACUCAUAGGAGACUGCCAGGGAGAACCUGGAGGAAGGCGGGGAUGACGUCAAGUCAUCAUGCCCCUUAUGUCUUGGGCUACACACGUACUACAAUGGUCGGCAACAGAGAGCAGCGAACCCGCGAGGGGGAGCGAACCUCAAAAACCCGAUCCCAGUUCGGAUCGCAGGCUGCAACCCGCCUGCGUGAAGUCGGAAUCGCUAGUAAUCGCAGGUCAGCAUACUGCGGUGAAUACGUUCCCGGGCCUUGUACACACCGCCCGUCACACCACGAAAGUUGGUAACACCCAAAGCCGGUGGGAUAACCGCAAGGAGUCAGCCGUCUAAGGUGGGGCCGAUGAUUGGGGUGAAGUCGUAACAAGGUAGCCGUAAAUCACUGCCGUCGAACGCCC